GACAGAGGUGCCGAGCGUUAGGCGGAAUCACUGGGCUUAAAGCGUGUGUAGGCGGAUGCCUAAGUACCUUGUGAAAUCCCACGGCUUAACCGUGGAACUGCUUGGUAUACUGGGUGUCUUGAGCCACUUAGGGGCGACCGGAACAAACGGUGGAGCGGUGAAAUGCGUAGAUAUCAAGAGGAACGCCUGCGGCGAGCGGUGCGUGGCUGACACUGACGCUGAAGCGCGAAGACCAGGGAGCGAACGGG
Molecule: ribosomal RNA, 248 nt
Filed under: uncultured bacterium
Lineage: Bacteria
Description: partial 16S ribosomal RNA
Rfam family: Bacterial small subunit ribosomal RNA
Source: RNAcentral